Molecule: ribosomal RNA, 444 nt
Filed under: uncultured bacterium
Lineage: Bacteria
Description: bacterial SSU rRNA
Rfam family: Bacterial small subunit ribosomal RNA
Source: RNAcentral
UCGUCAGCUCGUGCCGUGAGGUGUCGGCUUAAGUGCCAUAACGAGCGCAACCCCUCUCUCCGGUUGCCAUCAGGCAAUGCUGGGCACUCCGGAGACACUGCCGCCGCAAGGUGUGAGGAAGGUGGGGAUGACGUCAAAUCAGCACGGCCCUUACGUCCGGGGCUACACACGUGUUACAAUGGCCGGUACAGAGCGUCGGAGGCCCGCAAGGUCCUUCUAAUCGUGAAAUCCGGUCCCAGUUCGGACUGGGGUCUGCAACCCGACCCCACGAAGCUGGAUUCGCUAGUAAUCGCGCAUCAGCCAUGGCGCGGUGAAUACGUUCCCGGGCCUUGUACACACCGCCCGUCAAGCCAUGAAAGCCGGGGGUGCCUGAAGUCCGUGACCGCAAGGAUCGGCCUAGGGCAAAACCGGUGAUUGGGGCAAAGUCGUAACAAGGUAGCCGUA